GAUGAACGCUGGCGGCGUGCCUAAUACAUGCAAGUCGAGCGAACAGACGAGGAGCUUGCUCCUCUGACGUUAGCGGCGGACGGGUGAGUAACACGUGGAUAACCUACCUAUAAGACUGGGAUAACUUCGGGAAACCGGAGCUAAUACCGAAUAAUAUAUUGAACCGCAUGGUUCAAUAGUGAAAGACGGUUUUGCUGUCACUUAUAGAUGGAUCCGCGCCGCAUUAGCUAGUUGGUAAGGUAACGGCUUACCAAGGCGACGAUGCGUAGCCGACCUGAGAGGGUGAUCGGCCACACUGGAACUGAGACACGGUCCAGACUCCUACGGGAGGCAGCAGUAGGGAAUCUUCCGCAAUGGGCGAAAGCUUGACGGAGCAACGCCGCGUGAGUGAUGAAGGUCUUCGGAUCGUAAAACUCUGUUAUUAGGGAAGAACAAAUGUGUAAGUAACUAUGCACGUCUUGACGGUACCUAAUCAGAAAGCCACGGCUAACUACGUG
Molecule: ribosomal RNA, 497 nt
Filed under: uncultured bacterium
Lineage: Bacteria
Description: partial 16S ribosomal RNA
Rfam family: Bacterial small subunit ribosomal RNA
Source: RNAcentral